UACGAGCGAUGCAAGCGUAUCCCGGAAUUAUUGGGCGUAAAGCGUUUGUAGGCGGGCGAGUGUGUUUAAUGUUAAAUCUUAAAGCUCAACUUUGAAAUUGCGUUAAAAACUGCUUGUCUUGAGUAUGGUAGGGGUAAAGGGAAUUCCCAGUGUAGCGGUGAAAUGCGUAGAUAUUGGGAAGAACACUAAACAGCGAAGGCACUUUACUAGGCUAAUACUGACGCUGAGAAACGAAAGGUAAGGUAGCGAAACGGAUUAGAUACCCGUGUAGUCUUACCCGUAAACUAUGGACACUAAACGGUAAAUUUUUAAUUUACUGUUAAAGCUAACGCGUUAAGUGUCCCGCCUGGGGAGUAUGCUUGCAAAAGUGAAACUCAAAGGAAUUGACGGGGGCCCGCACAAGCGGUGGAGCAUGUGGUUUAAUUCGACGGUACACGAAGAACCUUACCAGGAUUUGACAUGCUAGAUAGUUGCUUGAAAGAGUAACGUGCCGUAAGGAAUCUAGACACAGGUGGUGCAUGGCUGUCGUCAGUUCGUGUUGUGAAAUGUUGGGUUAAGUCCCGCAACGAACGCAACCCUUGUCUUUAGUUAUUUUCUAGAGAGACUGCCUGUAAUAAACAGGAGGAAGGUAAGGAUGAGGUCAAGUCAUCAUGCCCCUUAUGUCCUGGGCUACACACGUGCUACAAUGGGAAAGACAAUGAGCUGCAAAUCUGUAAAUUUAAGCAAAUCUCUUAAACUUUCUCGUAGUUCGGAUUGUGGGCUGCAACUCGCCCACAUGAAGUUGGAAUCGCUAGUAAUCGCCAGUCAGCUAUAUGGCGGUGAAUCCGUUCCCGGGCCU
Molecule: ribosomal RNA, 838 nt
Filed under: uncultured bacterium
Lineage: Bacteria
Description: bacterial SSU rRNA
Rfam family: Bacterial small subunit ribosomal RNA
Source: RNAcentral